GAAGUCACACCCUUGGUGGCCAGGUCACAUUUUCAGCGAAGCGUUCGCUACUCCUUCUGUGCGAAGGAGUAAAAGGGAGGGUCACAUUUUGGUUGCUUUUUAUGGUGAUAGCAGCUAUGGAUGGUUUGAUCCAGAUGAGCUUGUACAUUUUGAACCAACUUAUGCGGAGAAGUCUAUGCAAACUAAUGUGAAGAACUUUAUAAAAGCAGUG
RNAcentral lists this unclassified non-coding RNA (211 nucleotides) under Hevea brasiliensis (rubber tree). Lineage: Eukaryota; Viridiplantae; Streptophyta; Magnoliopsida; Malpighiales; Euphorbiaceae. The record is from RNAcentral.